This 460-nucleotide ribosomal RNA is filed under the name uncultured bacterium. RNAcentral describes it as "partial 16S ribosomal RNA". It matches the Rfam family "Bacterial small subunit ribosomal RNA", at positions 338 to 795 of the family's 1533-position model. The record is from RNAcentral.
CCUACGGUGUGCAGCAGUGAGGAAUAUUGGUCAAUGGCCGAGAGGCUGAACCAGCCAAGUCGCGUGAGGGAAGAAUGUCCUAUGGAUUGUAAACCUCUUUUGUCAGGGAGCAAAGUCACCCACGUGUGGGUGUUGGAGAGUACCUGAAGAAAAAGCAUAGGCUAACUCCGUGCCAGCAGCCGCGGUAAUACGGAGGAUGCGAGCUUUAUCCGGAUUUAUUGGGUUUAAAGGGUGCGUAGGCGGUCGGAUAAGUUAGAGGUGAAAUCCCGAGGCUCAACUUCGGAAUUGCCUCUGAUACUUUUCGGCUAGAGAGUAGUUGCGGUAGGCGGAAUGUAUGGUGUAGCGGUGAAAUGCAUAGAUAUCGCGCAGAACUCCGAUUGCGAAGGCAGCGUACCGGCGCCAGACUGACGCUGAGGCACGAAAGCGUGGGGAUCGAACAGGAUUAGAUACCCUGGUAGUC